AGGGGUCGGCAAAAAGACGCUUACGGGAACCCAAUUCCUCAAACACACACUUAUGGGAACCCUGUUCGACAACCUGUACAACGGUACGGUUAGAUAAUUACCAAAAUUCCAUAAUUGCACACCGCUUAAAGGUAAAACUAAACCGGUAUUUAUAUUUAUCGAACCAAUAUUACCUAACCGGAACGAUUUCGGUAAUUUACCAAAAAUAACGUACCAAAGGAAGGACAGG
Molecule: long non-coding RNA, 229 nt
Filed under: Panax ginseng (ginseng)
Lineage: Eukaryota; Viridiplantae; Streptophyta; Magnoliopsida; Apiales; Araliaceae
Description: long non-coding RNA (PGIN_LNC017090)
Source: RNAcentral